RNAcentral lists this transfer RNA (67 nucleotides) under Marmota monax (woodchuck). RNAcentral's name for it is "tRNA.Ala". The record is from RNAcentral. Lineage: Eukaryota; Metazoa; Chordata; Mammalia; Rodentia; Sciuridae.
GGUCGUGGCUCAGUGGCAGAGCGCUUGCCUAGCAUGCGUGAGGCACCGGGUUCGAUUUUCAGCACCA